This 1030-nucleotide long non-coding RNA is filed under the name Anas platyrhynchos platyrhynchos (common mallard). RNAcentral describes it as "lncRNA (ENSAPLG00000026212.1)". The record is from RNAcentral. Lineage: Eukaryota; Metazoa; Chordata; Aves; Anseriformes; Anatidae.
AAAAGCUGCAGCAAAAGCAAAAGGGGAGUUUUGCUUGUAGAAACACCACAGGUCUCUUGUCUGCUCUCGGAAUGUUUUUGAGAUAAACCAGAUUUUAAAAAACAAAGGGAAAAAAAAAAACCACAGCUGCUUCUUUUGCUCUCUUCCUACUUUCUUGUGCUUUGCCCCUCCCCUUUCCCAGGUGAUUGGGUUUGGGUGCUGGGCGGGGCCGAAUGGUAUAUGAGCCCCAGGCAUGCUAUCAGAGAGCUCCUUCUGCUUGGGCUGCUCUUUGGGAGGACUAAAACCAGCUUGAUUGAAUGCUACAUAUGGCUUGGCAGCGUAGAUGCAGCAUUACCAAGAGACUGAGCAGGGUUGUAUCAGAGUCACCUCUUUCAUCUGCAAAGGGUGCUUUGUGCGGUCGUGGACAGGAAAGGGAAAUCCUCGUGUCGCGGAGCAGUGAGGGAAGGUGGGUGUUGUCAGCCUGCACAGUGGUUCUUUUGUCCUUUUGUGUUCCCAGGUGGCGUGGGUGAUGCUGGCCACUCCUUUCAAGCUUGGACCUAAUUUGCAGGUCCAGAGGCAAGUGGUCUGCUGUUUUGAAAGGAUAAAAGUAAAGCUGGGGUCGCUUAUGUUGUUGAGGGAUGGGUGCUACUGCUGGCAGAUAAAUGUUUAUCUUCUGCCUGUGUCUUUCCUUUGUUCAGGUUGAAAUGCAGUUCGCAGUGUAGGACGUCUCAACCCGAGCUGUCUCUGCAGUGAUGACUCUGGUGUGUGAUGAGCAGAGGUAACUUGUUUUUGGGGUGCGGUUGUCACUGCAGUUAUUUUCUUACAUGCAGUAGAGUAAAAUUCCAGUUUGCCUUUUAGAGGUGCUAUAAGUGGGUAAAGAGAAGAGAUGGAAGCAUGUGCCAUGUGGGGCAGGCAAGCGGCUGAGGUACAGGAGGGGAUGAGAGUAUGUGAUUUUUUUCUGGGGAUGAAAUGGAAUUGAUUAUUUUGGUGUAUAAUCUGUUCUGCUCCUGGAUUUUUCUUUCAAUGUGAAUAAAAGUUUGAGCUAAUUCCA